Molecule: long non-coding RNA, 1096 nt
Organism: Harpia harpyja (harpy eagle)
Lineage: Eukaryota; Metazoa; Chordata; Aves; Accipitriformes; Accipitridae
Exons: 2
Source: RefSeq, a predicted model, not a curated record
CCUGUAGAGAAAUAACAAAGUAUGAGCAAAGAGAAGCAAUUUAUCUGCAGUCCUGAAGGCAUCUGUGUGUAUUUAAGAUUCUUGCAAUUAGGCAACUUAGAUCAGAUUAGAAUUGCAAUCUAUCAGAUUAGAAUUGUGUUAACAGGUGGUUACACACAUAACCACUGUAAGCCUACAACAUGUAUGAUGCCAACAUAUGGUAUUAAUUCAUAAGUAAUAAUGAAAUAGAUGCUAGCAUUCAUCAAUAUAUUGUUACCAAGUUCCUAAAUAGUGAAGAUGUCACAUCCAGACAAGUUAUUAGCUAUCAAGAAUCUCUGACAUAUGGUAAGAAAGUUCAUUUUAUUGAGCUGUUUGGGUAUGUUUAACUUUAGCACUAAAGUUUGGUCAAGGUGCUUCCAGAUCAAAAAAGAUAAGCAAAUGCUUCUUCCAAGCACAAAUGGGGAUUUCCAAUUAAGCACUGCAACAGAAUGUUGUGUUACAACACGGUAUAUUCUAUUUCAUGAUUUCUAUCCACCUACUGCAUCUUACCUUUGCAGCAGAAACAGCCGUUUUCUUGGUUGCCUGCUUAGCCUUCUUGGCUUCUUUUGCAGCCCUGUUAAUUCACAGAAAAACAGUAACAGUUAUCCGUGUCUGCCAUUCACUGUUUCUUUGUCUCAGCACUGUAAGAACUCCCUAAGAUGAGGAAAGGAAUGCAUUAUUUCAGGUUUAUUCUCUGCAUUCAGUACUCUCUAGGGAGAUUACUACAGAGACAGCAGAACUGUGUGUAACAAAAGGGGUAUUUUCACAAAGGGAGAGGGCAAGAAGAGAUCCUCCUCUGCUGCUACUAUCUCUUGCUGAGAUUACUCAGUAUUACCUCCAAACAUACUGAUUAAAGAAAAAACCACAAAAAAGUUUAUAAAACAUGGAGCUCAUCUAGAGUUUAAGCUCUUGUAGGAAAAGCAUUAAUAAUCUUUGAAAAGCCUGGGAUAGCUCCACUUAUCUCUGAUUUCUCACCUAAUAGCUUGUUCCCUCUGUGCCUUUCGUACUUCGGGCUUCUGAUUUCGUUUAGCCAUAAUCUCAGCUAAAGAUGCACCAGUGAUAGCUCUCUGAAACUUAA